AAUCGCUUGAACCCGGGAGGCGGAGGUUGCGGUGAGCCGAGAUCAGGCCAUUGCACUCCAGCCUGGGCCACAAGAACAAAACUCCAUCUCAAAAAACAAAACAAAACAAAACAAAAGGGAUGGGGGACAUUUGAACACAGACACGGGAGAAGACAACCAUGUGAAGAUGGAGGCAGAGAUGGGGGUGGUGCUUCUACAAGCCAAGGAACCCCAAGGGCAAAUCACGAGAAGCCAUGGAGAGGCCUGGAGCAGAUCCUUCUCUCACAGCCCCAGCAGGAACCAGCACGGCUGACACCUCCAUCUGGGCCUUCCAGCUGGCGGGGCUGCAGGACAACACAUUUCUCUUGUGAAGCCGUCCGGCUCCGGGAAAUAACACGCUGGUCCUUACUGGGUUCCAUCUCUCUCGCCCGAGGUGUGGAGGCCCCAGCCACCCUCUGGGUGCCUCUGUGCACUGGCUUCUCCGGUGCUGUUCACUUCCCUUUCCAAAGCUGUUUCCCAUGUUAAGACAGGAGCUUCCGUCCCCUGCAGGCAGGCCCGGGAGGAUCCAGGUGUCUAGCCUUGAAAAUGUUUUCAACUGAUUCCUUAAUUUCCCCAUGUGGGUACCAUAGAGGAAAGUCCCUAGUGAGUCCCUAGCGAGUUAUUAAAAUGGCUUCUGCCGAUCUUCCUGGGAGGGGUGCUGGUGGCCCUGCCAUACUCUCCUCCUCCAGCCGGGUGCCCAGCCACUGACCUGCUCCUGGCUGGACCAGGCCCUGGUACCUGGUGUGACUCAAGGGAUUUAUAUCUUCCUCACCCUUCCUGAAAUUGCCAUUAUUGUGUUUAUUCCUUAAGAACGUUCUAGAAAGAAAAGCAUUUACCCUCACAGGAUUUCCUGUCACCUCCAAAUGAAACAAUUUAAAAACCAGACAAGUAAAUGUUACUCUUAUUUCUAAUCAUGAAAGAGAUUGAUUUUUAAAAAAAUCCUGACAGUAGAGAGGCGUGCCUGAGACUACAUCCCCCUAUUCAUAUACUCUUGUGAUUAGAAACAUACCGGAGAUUUGCUUCUGGGGGCUUUAAGUGUGGAAACCAACAGUUGUCUUUCCAGCUGCUCCCUGUCUGCUCUGGAGGGGAGCUCUUGGUGAGCCCCUUAAGCAGGUAGAAGAGACUGCUCUGAAAAUAUUAAAUACUUCUGGCUGAUGCUCCGUGUUCUGCUGAGCAGUGUCACAGACGGAUCUCUGUCUGUCUCUCUCUCUCUCUCCAUCAUUACUGUAUCCCUCGAACGUGGGAAGUAGGACAGUGCCCAGCCCAUAUUAAGUCCUUAAUGCCUAUGUCCUGAAUGGCAUGAAAUUGAAAUGGAAGACUGAGCUUCAAAUCAGUUGAUAGCUCCCUUCAGAAAGGGAGAAAGCACCAUGGACCAGGGAUCUUGAAUAUGAAGAAUGUGAAGAUUCUAGAAUCUUACUAAUCAUCCUGUGUCUUGCUUUUGUCUUGUUAAAAAAGUGAUUAGCAAAAUCACUUUAAGUUAGCAAAAGCGAUUACCCAUUUAAAAAAAAAAGGAAAAGUCCGCAGCUCCACUCAGAAACAAGGGCAGGCCUGUCUGCGGGAGACUGACUGUGGAGUGGGGAGGGAUAGGUGGGCGAGGGUGUUGGAGGAAGGAAAAGGAAACAGGCUACCCGCUGGUCCCUGCCCCCCAAAGAAAGAGCAAGCCGCUGGAGGAGCUGCUGGGGGAGGAUGACCCGCAGGUGGUUUGCUGACAUCUUGACCUUUAAUUUAGUAACCAUACAGUCCUUGAAAAUGUUUUCAACCGAUUCCUUAACUUCCUCAUGUGGCUACCAUAGAGGAAAGUCCCUAGUGAGUCACUGCUGUUAUUAAAAUGGCUUCUGCCAAUCUUCCUGGGAGCGGUGCUGGUGCCCUCCCACCCCCCACACAUGCUCUCCUCCACCAGCCGAGCGCCCAGCCUCGAGGCAGGGCCCACUGACCCGCUCCCGGCUGGACCAGGCCCUGGUACCUUGUGUGACUCAAGGGAUUUACAUCUUCCUCACCCUUCCUGAAAUUGCCAUUAUUGUAUUUAUUCCUUAAGACCAUUCUAAAAACAAAAGCAUUUACCCUGAUAGGAAUCUUCAUGACCUAGGAUAAAAUAAUCCACCCGUCUCAUUAUAAGAGGAAGUGGAUGUCACCUUAAAACCACUUACACCUCACAGCAUAAGACAGUGACUGCAGAACAGUCCCAGCCAUGCAGAAGCACCAGGGCGUGGGGAGCCAGAGAUCAAAUCACUGGUGUCACAGUGUGGGCUCUGCCUAGCAGAAAAACGUUUGAUUGUCUCCCUUUUUCCUGUAGCGCCUAAAACCUUCCGCCUCCCUCUUGGCUCUUCCAAACUUGAGCGCUGACUCUAUAAGCUUGGCUAACCAAGUGUUUUAGGGAGUGGCCGGAAGCAGGGAUGGAAACAAGAAAACAGCACAGCUCCGGCCCCGGUGCAGAGCCCGUGGGCGACUACUGGGACAGUUCAGUUUCUCGUGGUGACAGCCUCCUUUUUCUUUUCCCUGUUUCUGAAGGCUGGGUUGAAAAGAAUAUUGCAAACAACAUUGCACAGGGGGUUCUUCUGCUGGAGGAAGGGUUUCCUCCCUGCCCUGCCUUAGUUUCCUCAUUUAUUAAAGGAAGACAAGAAUUUUCCUGUCCAGGUAAAGGUCAUUGUGAGGGUCAGGUGAACUUUUGGGUGUGGAAGGAUCUCUAGACCAGGAAGAUGCUGGGUACUAAUUGUUCUCCCAAGUGCCUUUAUGAAUUUACACUGCCAACAGCAAUUCACCAAAAUCCCAGUUCCCGAUUCUUUCUGAUACUAGGUAUUGCUAUUAGAUUUUUUUUUGUUCGUUUUGCAUUUUCAUGAAGGCUAAAUUGCAGUGGUAAUGGCUGCUAGGGGCUUUGUUGUCAGAAACUGGCACCACUGAGUGCAGGCCAGCUGUUGAGAGCGUCCCCAGUGCCUGUUGGGCUCCUGUGCCCUGCUCCUUGGACCCAGUGCCCCCGGGGUACUGCUUCACCUGGCACUGUCCUCUACACAGGCUGCCGAGGCUGCAGCAUUCUGACCUCUGGCCGUGGGGAGUUCAUCCCUGUAGGAUGGCUGUUUCCUCUUCAUUCUCCAAUGUUCAGCAGCCCUCAGCCUGUGACUUUGAUCCACACUUACUGCAGGUUCGGUGUGCUGGCAAUGAUGUGGAGAACUCCACAGAGAAUAACCAGGGCCACAAACCCAGAGUUGCUUCUGUUUACUUGGAUGUGCCUUCCCACUGCUUCACUCCAGCCUGACUCCAAGGAGUAGUGGGCAAGGACAGAGGAACAAUUAGAGUUCAAACACACUCAAAAAUCUGUUCCACAUGGAUUAGACUUCAAUGUGAAAGUAAAAUGGAAAAAGAUUUAGAAGAAAACAUAGCAGAACAUCUUUAUGACCUUAGGGGGGUGGAGGAUUUCUCAACAAGACACAUAAAGCACAGCCAUAGAAAUGUCCAAACUUGCCUAUGUUAUAAGUAAUAAUAUAAUAAUGUCUUUCAAUUGUUACUAAUUAAUAACAUAACUUCUUUCAAAGCAAAAGACAAGCUACAGAACAAGGGAAAUUGUUUGCAAUUCAUUUAACACAUACAGUCAUGCCUUGCUUAACAGCAGGGAUACGUUCUAAGAAAUGCACCAUUAGGCUAUUUCCUCAUUUCAGCAUCUUGGAGUGCGUCCCCACAAACUUGGAUGGUACAGCCCUGUCACACACCAAGGCUAGAUGGUGGAGCUUGUUUCUCCUAGGCUACAAACAUGUACAGCAUGUUCCCAUACAGAAUACUGCAGGCAAUUGUGACGUAACGGCCUCCCCUCAAAUGUCGUCUCGGAGGAACGGUAUGGCCUGAACCCAAGCCCGAGUCGUCUUCUGCAGCGCCUGCUUUGCUUUCUUCCCAGCAUAUACCUCUGGAAUGAUCUGAUUUCUCACUAACUGUCCUGGCCCCCUUGAAUGGAUGGCCCAGAGAGACAAGGCCUCCUUCACAGCGGAUACUCAGAAUUUAACUAAAUGCUUUAACGAAUAAAUUUAGGUAAAACUAAA
Molecule: non-coding RNA, 4043 nt
Organism: Macaca mulatta (Rhesus monkey)
Lineage: Eukaryota; Metazoa; Chordata; Mammalia; Primates; Cercopithecidae
Source: RefSeq, a predicted model, not a curated record